GGAUGUGAGGGCGAUCUGGCUGCGACAUCUGUCACCCCAUUGAUCGCCAGGGUUGAUUCGGCUGAUCUGGCUGGCUAGGCGGGUGUCCCCUUCCUCCCUCACCGCUCCAGGUGCGUCCCUCCCGAAGCUGCGUGCUCGGUGGAAGAGGACGACCAUCCCAGAUAGAAGGAGUGUACCGUUCUUCGGUCAAGGGUAUACGAUAGCUGCGCUCCCCUGCUAGAACCUCCAAACAAAAUGCAGCAGUCUGAUUGGUCCUAGAACAAUAGGAUUCAGAAUGUAGCAGUCUGAUUGGUC
Molecule: non-coding RNA, 294 nt
Organism: Podarcis lilfordi (Lilford's wall lizard)
Lineage: Eukaryota; Metazoa; Chordata; Lepidosauria; Squamata; Lacertidae
Source: the annotation of a GenBank genome assembly